UUCUUCCAAUGCGCAUAUGGCUCUUUUGGGCUGUCCCACCAGCCCACUAAGGGCUGGUGCACCACCCUCAAUGCCUAUGGGCUUCCCCGGGGUGGGUUACCCCCCCGGUGAAUUCCCGGAACCCAUUCGUCAUUCCCGGUACAUUCCCGGUAACUCCGAAAACCUUCCGGUAAUAAAUGAGGUCAUCCUAUAUAUCGAUCUUCAUUUCCGGACCAUUCCAGAAACCCUCGUGACGUCCGUGAUCUCAUCCGGGACUCCGAACAACAUUCGGUAACCAACCAUAUAACUCAAAUACGC
Molecule: long non-coding RNA, 297 nt
Filed under: Hordeum vulgare
Lineage: Eukaryota; Viridiplantae; Streptophyta; Magnoliopsida; Poales; Poaceae
Description: long non-coding RNA (HVUL_LNC013315)
Source: RNAcentral